UAGGGAAUCUUCGGCAAUGGACGAAAGUCUGACCGAGCAACGCCGCGUGAGUGAAGAAGGUUUUCGGAUCGUAAAACUCUGUUGUUAGAGAAGAACAAGGACGUUAGUAACUGAACGUCCCCUGACGGUAUCUAACCAGAAAGCCACGGCUAACUACGUGCCAGCAGCCGCGGUAAUACGUAGGUGGCAAGCGUUGUCCGGAUUUAUUGGGCGUAAAGCGAGCGCAGGCGGUUUCUUAAGUCUGAUGUGAAAGCCCCCGGCUCAACCGGGGAGGGUCAUUGGAAACUGGGGGACUUGAGUGCAGAAGAGGAGAGUGGAAUUCCAUGUGUAGCGGUGAAGUGCGUAGAUAUAUGGAGGAACACCAGUGGCGAAGGCGGCUCUCUGGUCUGUAACUGACGCUGAGGCUCGAAAGCGUGGGGAGCAAACAGG
Molecule: ribosomal RNA, 429 nt
Filed under: Gemmatimonadota bacterium
Lineage: Bacteria; Pseudomonadati; Gemmatimonadota
Description: Gemmatimonadetes bacterium partial 16S ribosomal RNA
Rfam family: Bacterial small subunit ribosomal RNA
Source: RNAcentral